Molecule: ribosomal RNA, 486 nt
Filed under: uncultured soil bacterium
Lineage: Bacteria
Description: bacterial SSU rRNA
Rfam family: Bacterial small subunit ribosomal RNA
Source: RNAcentral
AGAUUGAACGCUGGCGGCAUGCCUUACACAUGCAAGUCGAACGGUAGAGUAGCAAUACUUGAGAGUGGCGAACGGGUGAGUAAUAUAUCGGAACGUGCCCAGUCGUGGGGGAUAACGUAGAGAAAUUUACGCUAAUACCGCGUACGAUCUAAGGAUGAAAGCGGGGGACCGUAAGGCCUCGCGCGAUUGGAGCGGCUGAUAUCAGAUUAGCUUGUUGGUGAGGUAAAAGCUCACCAAGGCGACGAUCUGUAGCUGGUUUGAGAGAACGACCAGCCACACUGGGACUGAGACACGGCCCAGACUCCUACGGGAGGCAGCAGUGGGAAUUUGGACAAUGGGGAAACCUGAUCCAGCCAUCCCGCGUGUGCGAUGAAGGCCUUGGGUUGUAAAGCACUUUUGCGAGGGAAGAAACGGCGACGAUUCUAAUAACGAAUGCGUCACUAGACGGUACCUCGCAGAAUAAGACACCGGCUAACUACGUAGCCA